CUACGGGGUGCAGCAGUGAGGAAUUUUGCGCAAUGGACGAAAGUCUGACGCAGCGACGCCGCGUGAAGGAUGAAGGCCCUCGGGUCGUAAACUUCUGUUAAGUGGGAAGAAAUAUCCUUUUUUAAUAGAAAAGGGUGAUGACGGUACCACUAGAGAAAGCACCGGCUAACUUCGUGCCAGCAGCCGCGGUAAUACGAGGGGUGCAAGCGUUAUUCGGAAUGAUUGGGCGUAAAGGGUGCGCAGGCGGUACAUUAAGUCAACUGUUUAAUUUCCCGGCCUAACUGGGAGUCAGCGGUAGAAACUGAUGUACUCGAGUAUGGAAGAGAGAAGUGGAAUUCUCGGAGUAGCGGUAAAAUGCGUGGAUCUCGAGAGGAACACCGAUGGCGAAGGCAGCUUCUUGGUCCAUUACUGACGCUCAUGCACGAAAGCGUGGGGAGCAAACAGGAUUAGAUACCCGCGUAGUC
This 464-nucleotide ribosomal RNA is filed under the name uncultured bacterium. RNAcentral's name for it is "partial 16S ribosomal RNA". It matches the Rfam family "Bacterial small subunit ribosomal RNA", at positions 339 to 795 of the family's 1533-position model. The record is from RNAcentral.